UACGAAGGGUGCAAGCGUUAGUCGGAAUUACUGGGCGUAAAGCGUGCGUAGGUGGUUUCUUAAGUCGGAUGUGAAAGCCCUGGGCUCAACCUGGGAAUUGCAGUGGAUACUGGGCGACUAGAGUGUGGUAGAGGAUAGUGGAAUUUCCGGUGUAGCAGUGAAAUGCGUAGAGAUCGGAAGGAACAUCUGUGGCGAAGGCGACUAUCUGGGCCAACACUGACACUGAGGCACGAAAGCGUGGGGAGCAAACAGG
Molecule: ribosomal RNA, 253 nt
Filed under: uncultured bacterium
Lineage: Bacteria
Description: partial 16S ribosomal RNA
Rfam family: Bacterial small subunit ribosomal RNA
Source: RNAcentral